UUUAAUCUCUCGAUAUGUACGCAGUGUUUCUACACUUCCCCUUGCUCUAGCAUUCUGGAUUUGCCAUGAUGAAUUUGAAGAUUAAUCGUGGCAGAUUAUUGUAGCCGAAUGAGCUUCACCACAGUACCUUCCUUUUGCUAAGGGCUGUUCACCCACCCCUUUUUGUUACUUUAUUUCAUAUAUUAUGCCUGUUGGUUACUUGUGGAAACAAGUAACA
Pelobates cultripes (western spadefoot toad) is the source of this 217-nucleotide non-coding RNA. The record is from the annotation of a GenBank genome assembly. NCBI's taxonomy places the organism in Eukaryota, Metazoa, Chordata, Amphibia, Anura, Pelobatidae.